Malus domestica (apple) is the source of this 653-nucleotide long non-coding RNA. RefSeq lists it as uncharacterized. The record is from RefSeq and is a predicted model, not a curated record. NCBI's taxonomy places the organism in Eukaryota, Viridiplantae, Streptophyta, Magnoliopsida, Rosales, Rosaceae.
CCUUAGUCCGACUGUCGUUUUAGGCUUUUAGGGUUGUCGUAUGAGAUUCUUCUGUAUAUAAAUCGAACCCUGAGAGAUUGACCGCCACCCUCAUUUGGCUGAAAGCUUGAAUUGGAGAAGAGAAAUCCCAUUGGGGCCGCUUGGGGGGCGAGAGAGAGAAAGCUGUUUGGGAAGUGAGAAAAUUUUACAGCUUUUAGAAAAGAAAAGAAAAGAAAAUGGAGAUGUUGAAGGUUCAAUUCUUUGUGAUGGCAGUUUUUGCCCUUGUUAUCUCUCUCCUUCUCCCUUCCAUCAAUGCUCAAAGCCUUGCUCCUGCUCCUGCCCCAACAAGUGAUGGGGUGGCUGUGGAUCAAGGAAUUGCUUAUGGGUUGAUGGUAUUGGCAUUGCUUCUCACCUACAUUAUUCACUGAUGAAUCUGGAUGAGCAUUUUUGGAGAAAUCAAGAUGGAUGAUUUUAUAGAGAGAGAGAGAGAGAGAGAGAGAGAGAGAGAGAGAGAUUAAUUCUUCAAGAAACAUGUGAAGGGAAUUGUUGUUGCAUCUUCUUCUUGCUAGGCUUUUGCUAGCUAGCUAAGCUAUGUUCUUGUUCAUUUGUUGCUACCAUUUUUAUCAAAAUCCCUAAUUCUUUCAAUAUCAAGAUUCACCAUUUUUCUUCUAUUA